Molecule: ribosomal RNA, 524 nt
Filed under: uncultured bacterium
Lineage: Bacteria
Description: bacterial SSU rRNA
Rfam family: Bacterial small subunit ribosomal RNA
Source: RNAcentral
UGACGGAGCGACGCCGCGUGGGGAGUGAAGGCUUUCGGGUUGUAAACCCUUUCAGGUGGGAAGAACAGUCACGAGGUGAACAAUCUCGUGGCCUUGACGGUACCGCCAGAAGAAGCUCCGGCCAACUCCGUGCCAGCAGCCGCGGUAAGUACGGGGGGAGCGAGCGUUGUUCGGAUUCAUUGGGCGUAAAGGGCGCGUAGGCGGCUCGGUAAGUCUGACGUGAAAUGCACCGGUUCGAACCGGGGCGCUGUGUCAGAAACUGCCAGGCUUGAGGUCGAGGGAGGAAGGUGGAAUUCCUGGUGUAGCGGUGAAAUGCGUAGAUAUCAGGAGGAACACCCGUGGCGAAAGCGGCCUUCUAUCUCGAUUCUGACGCUGAGGCGCGAAAGCUAGGGGAGCAAACGGGAUUAGAUACCCCGGUAGUCCUAGCCGUAAACGAUGGGCACUAGGUGUGGGAGGUAUCGACCCCUUCCGUGCCGCAGCUAACGCAUUAAGUGCCCCGCCUGGGGAGUACGGCCGCAAGGUUG